GGGCUUGACAUCCCACGAACCUGCCUGAAAGGGCGGGGUGCCCGCAAGGGAGCGUGGAGACAGGUGGUGCAUGGCUGUCGUCAACUCGUGUCGUGAGAUGUUGGGUUAAGUCCCGCAACGAGCGCAACCCUCACCCCUAGUUGCCACCGGGUAACGCCGAGCACUCGAGGGGAACUGCCAGCGUCAAGCUGGAGGAAGGCGGGGAUGACGUCAAGUCAUCAUGCCCCUUACGCCCUGGGCUACACACGUGCUACAAUGGUUAGUACAAAGGGAUGCGAGACCGCGAGGUGGAGCCAAUCCCAAAAAGCUGGCCUAAGUUCAGAUUGCAGUCUGCAACUCGACUGCAUGAAGGAGGAAUCGCUAGUAAUCGCGCAUCAGCACGGCGCGGUGAAUACGUUCCCGGGCCUUGUACACACCGCCCGUCACACCACGAAAGCUGGCUGUACUCGAAGUCGCUGAG
Molecule: ribosomal RNA, 460 nt
Filed under: uncultured Methylomirabilota bacterium
Lineage: Bacteria; Methylomirabilota (SeqCode)
Description: bacterial SSU rRNA
Rfam family: Bacterial small subunit ribosomal RNA
Source: RNAcentral